This 83-nucleotide transfer RNA is filed under the name Actinoplanes palleronii. RNAcentral describes it as "tRNA-Pro". Lineage: Bacteria; Bacillati; Actinomycetota; Actinomycetes; Micromonosporales; Micromonosporaceae. The record is from RNAcentral.
GUGGCUCGGCUCGGCGGGCUUGGGCUCGGUCGGCUUGGGCUCGGUCGGCUUGGGCUCGGCGGGCUCGGGGUCCGCGGGCUUCG